Molecule: ribosomal RNA, 371 nt
Filed under: uncultured organism
Description: bacterial SSU rRNA
Rfam family: Bacterial small subunit ribosomal RNA
Source: RNAcentral
CGUAGGGUGCGAGCGUUAAUCGGAAUUACUGGGCGUAAAGCGUGCGCAGGCGGUUUAGUAAGACAGGCGUGAAAUCCCCGGGCUCAACCUGGGAACUGCGCUUGUGACUGCUAAGCUAGAGUACGGCAGAGGGGGUGGAAUUCCACGUGUAGCAGUGAAAUGCGUAGAGGUGUGGAGGAACACCAAUGGCGAAGGCAGCCCCCUGGGUCGAUACUGACGCUCAUGCACGAAAGCGUGGGUAGCAAACAGGAUUAGAUACCCUGGUAGUCCACGCCCUAAACGAUGUCAACUAGGUGUUGGGAGGGUAAAACCUUUUAGUACCGGAGCUAACGCGUGAAGUUGACCGCCUGGGGAGUACGGCCGCAAGGUUA